GAUGAACGCUGGCGGCGUGCCUAAUACAUGCAAGUCGAGCGAACGGACGAGAAGCUUGCUUCUCUGAUGUUAGCGGCGGACGGGUGAGUAACACGUGGAUAACCUACCUAUAAGACUGGGAUAACUUCGGGAAACCGGAGCUAAUACCGGAUAAUAUUUUGAACCGCAUGGUUCAAAAGUGAAAGACGGUCUUGCUGUCACUUAUAGAUGGAUCCGCGCUGCAUUAGCUAGUUGGUAAGGUAACGGCUUACCAAGGCAACGAUGCAUAGCCGACCUGAGAGGGUGGUCGGCCACACUGGAAUUGGGACACGGCCCAGAGUCCUAGGGAAGGCAGCAGGAGGGAUGCUGCCGCAGGGGGCGAAAGCCGAUCGGAGCAACUCGGCGUGUGUGAUGAAGGGCUUCGGAUCGGAAGACUCUGUUAUUGGGUAAGAACAUAUGUGUAAUUAACGGUGCUCAUCUUGACGGUACCUAAGCAUAAAGCCGCGGCUAACUGCGG
RNAcentral lists this ribosomal RNA (496 nucleotides) under uncultured bacterium. RNAcentral describes it as "partial 16S ribosomal RNA". It matches the Rfam family "Bacterial small subunit ribosomal RNA", at positions 28 to 506 of the family's 1533-position model. The record is from RNAcentral.